RNAcentral lists this ribosomal RNA (1328 nucleotides) under Pheropsophus occipitalis. RNAcentral describes it as "16S ribosomal RNA". The stretch from base 1081 to 1240 matches the Rfam family "Archaeal large subunit ribosomal RNA", at positions 2542 to 2701 of the family's 2987-position model. The record is from RNAcentral. Lineage: Eukaryota; Metazoa; Arthropoda; Insecta; Coleoptera; Carabidae.
AAAUAAGAAAUUUACUUUAUUUUUUGUGUAUAUUUUAAUUUAAUAAAAAUAAUUUUAAUAGUUUAUAUUUUUAGUAGAGUUUAUAGAAAAAAUUAAUUUAGUUAUAGUUUAAUUGUAUUGUAAAAGAUUAUUGAAAUAAAAUUUUAUUUUUAAAAAGUAUAAUUUAAUUUUAGUACCUUGUGUAUCAGGGUUUAUUAAAUAAAUAUUAUAAAUUUUAAUUUUCUCGAAUUUAAGAGAGCUAAUAAAUUAUUUUUUUUAUUGUAAAAAAAAUAUUUAUAAUAAUUUAUUAGUAAUGAGAUGUUAUUCGUUCUUAAAUAUAUCUAGUUUAUUUAGAAAUGGAUUUAAUUCAGAUAUUAUUAUUUUAAUAGUUUAAUUUUUUAAAUUAUUAAAUUUAUUAAUAUUAAUAAUUAAAGGGAUUAGCUUUUAAUUAAAAAUUUAAAAAUUAAUAAAAUAUUUUAAGAAAUGUAGAUUUAGAAAUAGUCAUCAAUAAUAAUUUGUUAUAAUUAAUUUAUAUAAAAAUAUUAUUUUAUAUAAUUUUAAAUUUUUUAUAAAUAAAUAAUUUUUAAUUUUAAAAAUUUAGGUAUAAUGGUAGAAUUAGUAUAUAUUUGAUUUAUUUAAAUAAUAAUUUUUUAAAGAUUAUUUAAAGGAAUUCGGCAAAAUUUUUACUCGCCUGUUUAACAAAAACAUGUCCUUUUGUAUUUUAUUUAAGGUCUAGUCUGCCCACUGAAUUUAAAUUUUAAAUGGCCGCAGUAUUUUGACUGUGCAAAGGUAGCAUAAUCAUUAGUUUUUUAAUUAAAAGCUUGUAUGAACGGCUGGACGAGGUAAAAUCUGUCUCUAUUUAAAUUACAAUAGAAUUUAACUUUUAAGUUAAAAGGCUUAAAUAUUAUUAAAAGACGAGAAGACCCUAUAGAUCUUUAUAAUUUAUUAAUUAAGAUUAAUUUAGAAUUAUUUAUAUUUUAUUUGAUUAAAUUAUUUUAUUGGGGUAAUAUAAAGAUUGAAUUAAUUCUUUUUUUUUAUAAACAUUAAUGUAUGAAUAUUAAUGAUCCAGUUUUAUUGAUUAUAAGAUUAAGUUACCUUAGGGAUAACAGCGUAAUUUUUUUAGAGAGUUCAUAUCGAUAAAAAAGUUUGCGACCUCGAUGUUGGAUUAAAGAUUAUUUUAGGUGCAGAAGCUUAAUAAUUUUGGUCUGUUCGACCAUUAAAUCUUUACAUGAUCUGAGUUCAGACCGGUGUAAGCCAGGUCGGUUUCUAUCUUUAAUAAAAUAAAAUAUUUUAGUACGAAAGGACCAAAUAUUUAAUAUAAUUAUAUUUUAGUUAAUUGAAUAUUAUUA